This 497-nucleotide ribosomal RNA is filed under the name uncultured bacterium. RNAcentral's name for it is "partial 16S ribosomal RNA". It matches the Rfam family "Bacterial small subunit ribosomal RNA", at positions 28 to 507 of the family's 1533-position model. The record is from RNAcentral.
GAUGAACGCUGGCGGCGUGCCUAAUACAUGCAAGUCGAGCGAACAGACGAGGAGCUUGCUCCUCUGACGUUAGCGGCGGACGGGUGAGUAACACGUGGAUAACCUACCUAUAAGACUGGGAUAACUUCGGGAAACCGGAGCUAAUACCGGAUAAUAUAUUGAACCGCAUGGUUCAAUAGUGAAAGACGGUUUUGCUGUCACUUAUAGAUGGAUCCGCGCCGCAUUAGCUAGUUGGUAAGGUAACGGCUUACCAAGGCAACGAUGCGUAGCCGACCUGAGAGGGUGAUCGGCCACCAUGGAACUGAGACACGGUCCAGACUCCUACGGGAGGCAGCAGUAGGGAAUCUUCCGCAAUGGGCGAAAGCUUGACGGAGCAACGCCGCGUGAGUGAUGAAGGUCUUCGGAUCGUAAAACUCUGUUAUUAGGGAAGAACAAAUGUGUAAGUAACUAUGCACGUCUUGACGGUACCUAAUCAGAAAGCCACGGCUAACUACGUG